Molecule: long non-coding RNA, 9138 nt
Organism: Mirounga angustirostris (Northern elephant seal)
Lineage: Eukaryota; Metazoa; Chordata; Mammalia; Carnivora; Phocidae
Exons: 4
Source: RefSeq, a predicted model, not a curated record
GGUGCACCUCGGGUGGGAGUUGGGUCCUCGAAGGAGGCGGGAAGCGAGCUAAUCCCGCGAACUCAGAUGAGUUUCCUAAUCGUUGAAAGUCCUUCAACGGGCCGUAUCCCCCAGCCCCGUGAACUCCAGGGCUCCGCUCACCCGAGCUUUUUUGGGAUGGGUUGCGGACAUUUCAGGGUUUCCCGUGUUCCCCUGGAAGAGUGCACGUAAGGACCGCACACAGUCCCCAAGUUCAGUGGGGUGCCCCCUGUCCCCUGGCAGAGUGCAGGUAAUGGACCUUGAGUAGCACCCCGAGUUCAGCAGGGUGUCCCCUCUUCCCCCAGGCACAGGUGUGGCCGUAACAAGCCCCAGAGCCGUCCUCCAACUUAGCAUUGUGCCCCAUGUUCCCUGGGUAUGGUGGUAAUGGGCUGUCAGGAUUGUGCGGGAGGGUCCUCCAGGUGGGGGGGGGCCUGGAGGCUGGAGUAAACUAGACCCUACUCAAGUUGCAUGAGGAACAGAUGAGUUGAGGUGUUGAUUUGGAAGAGUCAUUUCGCGUUUCCAAAAAUGUCAAAGUCAUUGGUCUACUUUAGAAUGAAGAUAAUUAGUACUUAAAAAACAAGUAUGUGUUUCCCCUUCUCCCAGAAACCGAAGCAGGUGUGCUUGCCAUAGGUCGGAGGUCCUACUUAUCCCCACCUGACAGCACUUCUCCCCUCUGACUCCAUGAGACCCGAAGUUUUGAACAUCAGCAUGUGAGUCAGUGAUGCUGCUCGUCACAGGACGUCAGCAUUCAGAGAGAGCAGCAGGUCCAUUUGGCACAAUGUCAUCUUCAAGUCAGGACUGGAGGUAAAACUUCUGAUUAACCCCAAACCUCCUGGGCUUUCCUCUUUUUUCUAGUUGAGCUACGAAGUAAAACUUAAGUAGCUCUCAGCAUUCUCCAUUUGGUUCAAGAGUUACUUUCCCUGCGGGUAGAACAUUGCAGGGGAUCCGAUUUUCUCUGUUCAUUUAUUGCUUACAAAAUAUAUUCUGAUCAUCUGUUUCCUAGAAGUAACUUUUAUUAGAAAGAGAAGGUGAAAUUUACUCUUUGUGUGUUUUUAAGAUAUCUUUUGUUCCUCAAUCUAAUAGCGUUUAUUCAGUUGGGCCUAGGAUAUGGUUGAGCGGCCAGCAUCUAGAGUUAGGUGGCUUUUUGUCGUCAGAUACAGAUUCGGAUGAUGUCUUGUCAUUUGUCAAAGGUGAUGUCUCAUAAUUGAUUAGUGUUUUCAUCAGAAGAGUUACAGUUAGGGUCAAGGGAAAAAUCAAAAUUAUUCAAAGCAGGCUUUUACUGUUUAAAAGUUGAGCCUGAGUUUCUAGUUUUUCUAAAUGUAUCAUCUAGAUAUUUUGACAUGCUGUAUUUUCUCUGUAGUUUCUUUGGUGGUGGAGUCAGAAGGAGAGUGUUUGGGAAUUCUGGAUGGAGGCAUGCUGGUGUCAGGAGCACUGGGUUGAGUUCUGGAACUGCUUGCCUGAGCCUAGGUGUGUCAGGUUAUCCCACAGAGCUUCCGUUGACUCCUUAUGAAAUUUGUGGAAGGAGCAGGAUCUGUGGACUCCAGGGGUGAUGUGAGAAACCUCAGAAGCUUCCCUUGUCCGUGUUUCCCUCGUCUGUCCCGGUGCUCCAUUCCUUCCUAAGGCCUUGUCACCCGGACCAGAGCAGUGAAUCUGGAACCUCUUCCAAAUGGAGACCCGGAGGCUGCAACAAGGAGGGUCUUGGCCUUGGUCCCCAGACUAGUGGUCAGUGCUCUGCCAUGUUCUGCGUACCCAGGUCCUCAGCCCCCCAAGUCCCCAGUUUGUCCCCUGCUCAGAAGGACCUCGAGGGAGUACAAAGCAUUUUCCCAGGACUGGGAGCACAGUGGGUCGGGGAUGGAGAUCCAAGGCCAAUAGGCUCUUCCACAAGCCUGUGGGACCCUAGGGACACUGCAUCUCUAAGCCCAAGUGACAGAAGAGUAAGCUGAGGCCUUUGUGCUGUAGCCCCUCUGGACUUGGGGGUGGGUAUCUCUUCCUGCUUCCAAGUGCCCAGGCUGGUGAUGGACACCGGAACCCAGACCCUGUCCUCUCCCAGUGCCCUGGCAACCCUUCGGGGUCCCUUGGGGACCCCUGACCCUCAGCCUGGCCUGUCUCCCCUCCCCAUGCUAUGGAUCUGGGUCCUUGCCAGGAGUCCUGAUGCCCUGCCCCAUGGCCCAGCUGUCUGCAACCUGUUUCUUCUUUCCCCCCUGUCACCCACCUCGCUCCCAGGGUGUCCUCCCCUUCUGACCCCCAGCUGGGCAGUCAGAGUGGUGUGUGUGUGGGUGUGGGUGUGUGUGGGGGGGUGUGUGUGCAGCUGCACGUGCCUCUACGUGCCUGGGGAUGCCAAGGUCAUGUCCCCACAUGAAACGGGGUGGGUAGCUCUUCCCGAGGAUCUGAGUGGCUCUCACCCCCAAAGCAAACCUCAUGGGAGGGUUGGGACUGGCCUAGGACUGGAGAGCAGCUCCUUGGACUCUGCACCCCUCAGUUGUCCUGGGCCAGUCCCUGCCUCUCUUGACCCAGGUUCCCAACUGUCCCUGAGGGUCGGACAUGGAAAGGCUUGAACGUGGCUGCUCCUCCAGGGGUAGGUGGGGGACAGGUGCACCAGGCACGCAGGCCUCCCCACCGAGAGGGCCAGCCAGGUGUGUCAUGGCCAGGUGUGCACAGACGACCUGCCCACAGCUCCUGUACCAUGACCCAGCCCUGCGGCAGAUGUGCACGAGACCCAUGGCUCCGCACCUGACCGGUCCCCCGCAUUCCCUCACCACCUCGGAGACAAGGGCUCUUCUUCGUCCUAGGGCCCGUCAUCCUUUGGACAAUGAGAGCAGAGGGAUCCGUAUCUAGAGGAGGCCGGCAGGGCGUCCCACGGAGUGUCGUGUGCCCAUCUCUGCUUUGUCGUCUAGGCUUAGCGGCGGACCCCCACCUAGAAAGAGGCCCACGGGGCAGGGACAUUUGUCUGCCUUGUUCCCUGAAUUAUGGAAAAUGUCUAGAAGGGGCUUCCUGUCCAUGUGUGGAGUCGAUGAAGCCCAGCCAGCACCUUUCAGAUGUCUGAGUGGCUCUGGGGCCCCUCUGCCAGCCCCCAGGGAUCCCUGCUCUGGCUCCACCCAGGAUGGGAGCCCCAGAUGGAAUCUGAAACCUCCUCACAGCCAGGAAUGCGGCUUUGCCCAGGACACAGGACACCGAGGCUUGGGGCAGAGAGCUCCUUCACGGUGGAGAGGAACCGCCUCAGCCCCAGGCCACCCUCCCCGUGGGCCGGCCACAGGGUCGGGGAGCGGUCCCAACAGGCCCGACGGCAACCCCGUGUGUGGGGCCUGGCCUCGUGGCACGCAGGGUCCCCAGGAGACACCUGAGGUUCGGAGAGGGGACGUGUCAGGCCCGAGACACACAGCCCGCAGGCUGAUGGGGUUGAGGCAGCAGCGCCCACCUGCUGCAUGGAGAGCAGCAGCGAGGAGCCGUGGUUGCAGACCCCGAGACACGGCGCUCGUGUGAGUCCGAGGCUGCCACAGAUGUGAUGGAGGCUGAGGAGGGGGAGGUGCUGACAGAGGCUGAGAUGAUGCCUGAGGUCUGCAGCGACGACUGGGAGGUCAACUCCGGAACUUGAGGAACGGCAAGGCCAGCAGAAACACCAGACUGUAUUUACCAAAAUUGACAAAGAGACAAAAAUGGAACCACUUUAUACCAACCAAUUGGCUCCCUGAGAUGAAGCAGAUCAUUCUGAGAAGCACACAAACUACCAAAGUGACUCCAGAAGAAAUGGAAACCCUGAGCAGACCUCUAAUAAGUAAAUAGACUGAAGCAGUCAUGAGAACUUCCCAAGAAUGAAAAGUCCAGAACCUGAUGCUUUCCCUGGUGAUUUGGCCCACACGUUUAAAGAAGACAUAAUACCAAUCCUUCUGAAAGUCUGAAAAAAGUACAAGAGGAGGGAACACUUCCCACAUCACCCUAGAAUGCCAGCAUUGUCCCGAUUCCAAAGACUGACAAAGACCUUACAAGAAAAGACAGUUGCAGGCCAAAAUCCAUUAUGAAGAGCGAGGCAAAAAUCCUCAACAGAAUUCUAGCGACAGAAUCUAGCAGCACAUUGACAGGACUCUACAUCAUGACCAAGUGUGAUUUACACCGGGAAUGCAAAGGCUGUUCAACGUAGCUAAUCAGUGUCCUAGACCACAUCCAGAAGAAACAUGAUCAUGUCAAUUGUUGUAGGAUAAGCUUUGACAAAAUCCAAACCUUUUCAUAACAAGUAUUCUCAAUAAAAUAGAAAUAGAAGAUUCAGUUGUGAUAAAGGAAAGGUCCCUGGGUGGCUCAGUGGGUUGAGUGUUCGACUCUUGGUUUGGGCUCAGGUCAUGAUCUCAAGAGUCUUCAGAUUGAGCUCCAGGGAGGGCUCUGCACUCAGUCGGGAGUCUGCUUGGAGAUUCUCUCCCUCUGCCCCUCCCCACUCUUGGGUUUGCAUGCUCUCAAAUAAAUAAAUAAAUAAAUAAAUAAUUCUUUAAAAAUUAUGAUAAAGGAUAUUUAUGAAAAAUAACUCAUAUGUAUAUCAUUCUCUGUGGUGAAAGACUGGGAGUUUUCUCCUUAAAAUCCCCAAAAAGUCAAGGAUGCCCAUGUCCACCACUUCAUUUCAAUAUUGUCAUGGAAGUUUGGUCAGAGAAAUUAUACAAGAUUAGUUACUAAAAGCUCACAAAUGGAAAGGAAGAAGAAAAAGGUUAUUUAUAUAUGACAUGAUCUUCUAUGCAAAUAAUCCUAAGAAUUUGAAAAACUCUGUAUGAGAUUAUAAUAUUUCCCGAAAGGUAUGAGCAGAGAAGGCCAACACAUAUGGAUCAAUGGAAUACUGCUGAGAAUCAAGGAAUACAUACAUGUACAGUCAGUUGUUUUCGAACACGGAGAGCAAGAUCAUUCAAUGAGGCAAAAACAGUGUCUCCAACAAACGGUGUUGAGAAACCGGAUAUCCACAUACGAAGGAGUGAAGUCAGAGCAUUCCCUUCCACCCUAUAAAAAAUGAACUCCACAUGGAUCCAAGAAUGAACUUUAAGAGCGAAAAUUCUUAACACUCAGAAGGAAACUAAGAGCACUUAGGGGCAGAUCUUCCUUCCCUUGGAUUUGGCAAUAUGGUGUCUCUUGUAUGGCACCCGAAGCCCAAGCAACAACAGAGAAAACAGAGACACUGGACUUUAACGUUGCUAAAAACUUUUGUGAACAAAAGGGUAAUCUCAAGAGAAUGUAAAGAAACCCAAAGAAUGGUAGGAAAUAUUUGCAAAUCUCAUACGAGUCUUGCAUCUAGAAUGUGUACAAAACUCCUCCAACUUAAGAACCUAAACAACCCCACUGAAAAUAAUAGACAUUUCUCCAAAGAAGAUAGUCAGACGACCCAGUGAGCACAUGGGGCGAUUUUCCUCAUGAGAUCGUAGGAAAUGCAAGCCAACACCACAGUGACAUGCCUUCCCCCACCCAGGAGGAGGGGCUAUAGUGAAUAAGCAGAAAUAACAAGUGUUGGAGAGGAUCUGGGGAAACAGAACCCUCCUCCAUUGCUGGGGGAGAUGUAAUAUGGCGGAACCACUGUGGCAAAGGGUGUGGCACGUCGUCCACACGUUGAGCAUACUGUUCUCAUUUGGCCGAACUCCACUCAUUCUCUAAACAGAAGAAUGGAAUACAGGCCCUCUAACAACAGCCUGCACGGAAGUAUUCGUAGCAACACUCUCGACAAUAAUCGAAAGAUGAAAACAACCCACAGGUGCAUCCACAGUUGAAUGGACAAACACAACGUGGUCUGUUCAUACAAUGGGAUUCAUUCAGCCACGCCAGGAAUGAAGUAGUGAUACACGCUAUCACGUGGGUGAACUUCGAAAACAUCCUACUCAGUGGAAGAAACUAGACCCCAAAUACCACAUACGGUUUGAUCCCACGUGUAUGAAAAAUUCGUCCCAGGUAAAUGACAGGUGCCAGAUCAGUGGUUGCCUGGGAGCAGGGGGAUGGGGAAUGACCAGUGACUGCCUGCUCAGAGGGUGCGGGGUUUCUCUCCAGGGCAUUAAAUGUUCUGGGAUUAGAUAGGGUGAUGUUGCCAGCACGGGAAAUGGAGUUGAUAACAGUGGUUUGCACACUUUGAAAUGUUUAAAAAGAUAAAGUUUAUUUUAUGUUAAGCUACAAAUAUACCUGGAAACAUGAAAAGAAACAAAAGCCAAAAGAGAAGAAAAGGAAUGCGUUCGCUGGUGAGGACAGGCCGACUCUGGUGCUGGAACUGGCCCUGGUUGUAGCUCAUCAGCUGCUCCGGGAGGUGGGGCCGGAGCUGGCUGUAACUGGUGCUGGAUUGGGUCUCGCUCCCACUGGCCCUAGCUCUGCAGGGGGAGCCAGCGCUGGCUCCAGGUCGGAGGUGCCGCCGGAGCUGACUGUGGAGCCGAUCCAGCUCAGAGUCUUGCCUUGGCUCUAGCUCUGCAGUCGGUGAUGGAGCCGUAGGUCCAGGGGCUUCCUCCCACUGGGGCGCACGUGGCUCCAGCUCCUGAGCUCCUGGCGAAGGCCCCGCACCAGGAGAUGGAAAUGCCUCGAGCUCUGCAGCGGGCUUUGGGUCUGUAGCUGCUUCUGCAGCCACGUCGACUCUGCAGCGGUGACCGGCCCCGGGGCAGAGGCCAGUUCUCCAUCUCGAGAUGGUGCCGAAGCAGCAGGAGGGGAGAAGGUCACCACCCUGCCAGGGUGAUCACCCUGUGCUGAUCCCCACAGCCCGUCCCUGUGCCUUGUCAGAGGAAACCGGCCUCCCCCAGCAGCGCUGAGCUGCCUCGAGACCUGGCUCUCGUUCUCGGGCUGCCUCUCACUCUGCCAGUGGUGCCGGAUCGGGUGGGAGAACUGGUGUGGAGGUGGCUCUGCUCUGGAAUUCACCCCGGAGCUGCUUUUGCCUCCGGAGGGGGACAGCGUGUCGGAGCUGGAGGGGCUCUAGUCUGCGGGGCCCUGGCUCAGGCUCUCGAGCUACUUCCACGGCUGGCUCGAGUCAGCGCUGGGGCACAUUCUGGUGCGUCAGAUGGUUCUAGAUCUUAGCUGCCCCACGGCUCGUGCAAGGUCUCGUGCUCGAGGUGCUCUAGCUCUGUACCGCCCACUUGCUGACCGUGGGUGAGAUGCUGACCCACCGGUUAGGCUGGGAGCUCCGAGGGCAGGGAGGGUGUCUGGGGGUCCCCUCUGCAUUCCAGCGAACAGACACAGGUGUGGAUGAUGCACGCGUGGAAGAAAGCGUGAACACAAGAGUCUGUGGCCCAGACCUCUCAUCUGUAACAACAUCCCCCGCAUCCCGGGUCUGCUGGGGGAUCCCACCGAUUCACUAAACUGUGAAGUACUACCACUUCCCAGGCACUGUUCUGGGGGUUGGGGACCCAGCGGUGAGGAAGCACGGUCCCUGGUCGCGUGGGGCUGGCCGGAGCAGAGGUCAAACGAGGACUUCAGGUCCCCGGCAAGUGUCUCUGCUCAGCUGGGGGCAGCUGCCGGGAGCAGCGGGUCAGGCCCUUGUCCCCGUCUGGCAGCUCAGGACCGACCCGCGUGGGGCGCGUGGUGAAGGCGAUGCAGGAUCCUUGGUCUGAAUCCCCCCGUAGCCAUUACCCCCAUGUAGCCGGUCCCGUCACCAUCCCGAGUUUUGCAUCCAUGAAGUGGGCAGGGGAGGAAAGCCGUUCGUGGGUUCAAGAGCCCUAUCCAAGUGCGGAACUGGGUCUAGAUCAUCUCUGGAGGGGGAUUCAGCUCCAGCACCUGCCCCAGAGCUCGAGCCAGGUCCUACACCGAUGCGUGCCGCAGCUCCCGAGACUGGGGCAGCUGCAGCUUCGGCUCUCGCGCCAGCUCUGGGAUCAGAGCCCAGUUUGGAGCUUGAGCAGCUCCAGCACCAGCUAUGGAACUCGCCAGCCAAGGGCCAGCACCUUCACCGUCACACCCUCGCCGUCGUGCACGAGGUCAGGAGAGGGGCUGGGGGCGGGAGGGUCCCUGCUGGGCAGGUCACCCCGGGUACCUUGGUCACUCUACUCAGAGCUCCCCCUCCCCACCCCUCCCACAGGUCACAGCCCCAGGGUUCCCCACCCCUGCUUCCCAAACAAGGCUCAAGGUGGACAAGCAGACCUGGGAUGUUGGAAGUUGAGGCUUGUAUCUUCAACACUGUAUACGUGUUGACCCAGAAACUCCACUUUAUGGAUUCUGUUGCAAAUAGAGGUUGAUGGACACGGUGUUCCCUUCCUUCAACAGGGUGGGAGUGAGCUGCCCACGCUAGGUGAUGGGUGCACCUGUGGCCUGGGAUGGGUGCUGCUCACUGUUCUCCCAGACAGGGGUGCCCGUCACCCUUCUCUCCCGGGGACCUCCGUUUCCUCACGUUCUCGCCAGGGCUGCUGGUCCCCAGACCAGAUACCUGCCAGUCUGAGGGUGACCAGUGCUGCCUCCAUAGGGUUUCCUUUGCCAGAGUCCUUCCCCGGGAGCUCCUGCAUCUCUGACUCCCCCCAUGCCUGUCCCCCUCCCCUUGGACUUGCAUGCAUUUCGUCUCUGUCCCUGUGGAACCCAGUGACUUGGAGCAUGGUUUGGACCAGAGGCAUGGGAAACCUUUCUGUGGCCUUGGGUUGUCAGCAAUGCUUUGGCCCUUUGGGGUGUGUCUUCCAGCUUUCUGCAUUUCCCUGGUUUCUCUGUGGGUCACAGGAGGAGCCAGCCCUUUCCUGUCUGGGGUCAGGCUGAGGUGUCCCAGCAGGAACAGGGGUCUCCGCCCCGAGAUUGUGUCCAUAUUUACCAAAGGGGGCUCUAUGGUUCCAUCUCAUCUGUAAUCCAUCGGGGAUUUCAACAUCAAAUAAGGGAAAUUCUAUGUCAAGUCAACCCAGAAAAGAAGGAGUCCCCUUUGAAAAUAGGGGGGCAGACACAAAGGCCCAUACUGUGUGAUUCCACGUACAGGAAACAUCCAGAACAGGUAAAGGAACAGAGAGAGGAAGCAGCUUAGGGGUUUCCAGGGAGGCCUUCUGGUUCGGGGACUCCUUUGGGGAAGCAGAUAUUUCACAGCCAUGUUCUGUGGUGUGGUGGCCCGGCGUUGGGAAUGUACUUGAUGCUCAGGACUUGUUCAACUGAAAACAAUUCAUUUUAUUUAAAAUGAAUAAUAAACAGCAUAUAGGACAUGGAAAGAGAAUAGAACAGUUAAUACGAACC